This is a non-coding RNA of Microcebus murinus (gray mouse lemur), 2666 nucleotides long. The record is from RefSeq and is a predicted model, not a curated record. NCBI's taxonomy places the organism in Eukaryota, Metazoa, Chordata, Mammalia, Primates, Cheirogaleidae.
UAUUCUGAAGCCAGACUUAGCUUUCCUAGGGCGUUACUGCUCCUCUCACUACAGAGAGAUUCCAAGUUUGUGGGCAGCUAUAAGGAGGGUGCCUCAUCACCCCCUUGUGACCUCAUCAAAAGCAAGAGAUGACAUCAGCAGCUUGGGCUGUGGAAAAAACUGGAUUCCGGACUGACUGACCAACUCUCCCAGAGGUGGGAUGAAGAACUCAGAACUCCUCUCCCAAGGAAUAAAAACAGACUAGAGAUAAGCAAUAGAAAUCUGCACCUCUCCAAUGGGACAAAACUUCUGGAAUUCGGGGAGAAUAAUCUGAAGUGCUCAAUUGCCAUCUGGGCAGACAACAUGAGAACCAACCAAGAUGACUGAAAUCUUUGCAGCUGACAUUCCUCCAAAUAAAAUGACCACCCCACUUGCAAAUGAAAAGCACAUUUCAACAUGCUUCCUCUCAACAUUAAAGGUAUCAUUGCCAACAGAGGAAAAGCAGUGCACAGUAACCAAGUGGUCUUGUAAAUCCUUGUUGAUUUUAAGGACGGCCGAAGAUUGCCUUCUUUGGUAGUAUUAAUGCAAGCAUGCCAGACAAAAGAUGUAGGCUAUGUGGAUGUACAGCCAGACCUCAUGGGCUCACCUUGCGUUUUCCUGGAACCAUAGAAUGUUAGUGCUGAGAUGAACCAUCCAACAACCUCACCAUAACGAUGGAGCCUCGGAGAAGCUGAAUGGCUAAUGCAAGGUCACCCAGCUAAUCGAGGACAGAAAUGAAACCAGACCCCAGCUCUACUAGCUCCUAGACCAGUGUUUUUUAAUAUCUCAUCUUUCUGAUGCCUCAGAAGAAUACAUGGUUCUGAAGAUAUUUAUUAAGUCAGUCAUGCUCUAAAUUCCCACAUGGACUUCCCCAGCCUGUAUUUGGUGGGAGCCAUAAGUCAUGAUCUUCUAGGUCUAAAAUCAAUGAACUGAAGACAUCCACCACAAAGCCAUUUAAAAUGGCUUCUUUCUGCAUCCCAGAGUAUGGUAUGCACUCCUCUCCCAUAUGCUAUCUCUUCUCCAGGGCUGGGAAUAUACCCUAAGACCUCCUUGUGUGAAGGAAAACAGACCCCAGCUGUCCGGCCAUGCUGAGGCUCCAAUAUGGAUUUCAGCUGCUUCACUAUAGGGCUGCAUUCAAUGAAUUGCAUUUUUAAAAAAAUGUUUAAUAUCUACAUGGCUCUCACCCAACUGCAUUAAAAACACCAGCUGUACCAUGCUCUCUCCUCUAAUUUGACAGUUGUAAGAACAGCUCCUGAAGAACAGAACAUUCUUCGGGGGUUGGGCUGUUGGUUUUGCAGACAUUUUAGGAGGCUUAGAAGAUCAAACAGAUUUUAAGUUGCAAUGUCAUGUAGGGAAAUGGGUGGGAGGUGACAGAAGAAGGAAUCUGAUGUGCAUUGAAUGCCUGUCAUCUACCAGGCACUGGGUCGGGUAAGUUCUCAUGGCUGACUAUAGUUGGUUCUCACAAUACUGAGAUGAGUAUAAUAACCAAAAUUUUACAGAUGAAGAAACUGAUGCUUAGAAAGAUGAAGAGAUUUGCCCAAAGUCACACGAGUAAUUUGUUGUAUAACUGGUGUACUCAUUUCCUAGGGCUGUUGUACCAAAUUGCCAUAACGUUGGUGGCUUCACACAGCAGAAAUUUAUUCUCUGACUGCUCUCACACCCCUUGGCUUGCAGCUGUGUAACCCCAGUCUCUGCCUCUGUGGUCACAUCUCUUCUUCAUCCAUCUUUCCUCUGGGUGUCUCUUGCAAGGAUAUUUGUCAUUGGCUUUAGGGCCCAUGUACAUAAUCUAAGAUGAUCAUAUCCUGAGAUCUUUAGUCACAUCUACAAAGACCCAUUUUCCAAAUAAGGUCACAUUCACAAGUUCCAGGGUUAGGAUGGGGACAUGUAUCUUUUUUGGGGGGGAGGCACUACCCAACCCACUAUGGCUGGGUUGUAAAUUCAGGUCUAUCUUAUUCUAUAUCCUGUUUUCUCACUACAUUGUCAUGUUAUUUCCUGCCUUUUCUUCUCUUUUGCAAGGUUGACCUUGGCCAAGAUACAUAUUCCAAGGCAGCCACAGCCAUAGUAUUAAUAAGGCACACGAGCCCUAGAUUUCUCAGUUUUCCAGAGACUUAGUAACAGAGCUGAAGUUUAAGCUUCUGUCACACCUUGCUCUUGCCCUUGGAACCACAGAGGAGAUCUGCCCCUAACAGAUACCCUGGCAUUGCCUCCAAACAUCAAAGGUUGACUCCUUUGAAUAGUUCAGCUCUCCUUUUGCAGGAGUGAGAGAGUUAGCAGGUGUCAACUUAACCUACAGCCAUCCGCUAAUAGGUUUAAGAUAAAAGGCCAAUACAUUUAAAUAAGAUUCAGACAUAAUGUAAUAGUAUUUGUUACCAAGCCCCAUCUAAUUAUAUCAGUCAAUCUCUUAUUACCAGACCCAUAAGUGCAGAGGACUCUAUUAUAAUUUCUCUUUAUAAUGAUCUCCUCACUAUCUGACUCUUCGAACUCUGCAAUAAAUUAAUCAUCUGCUGGCAAUCAUGAGUAAACAUCAACUCAAUUAAGAAUUGAUAGCUAAACAGUUCGCUCCGAGGCUUGUGCUGAUAGAGGUGGGGGUGCCACUGGGCGCCGGCCGGAGCGAGCUGGCUGCGCAGUCCCGGGAUAUGGACGGGCGG